Molecule: unclassified non-coding RNA, 363 nt
Filed under: uncultured bacterium
Lineage: Bacteria
Description: contains 16S-23S intergenic spacer region
Source: RNAcentral
UCCCCGUUACCGGGGCAGUCUAGCUAGAAAAAUUCAACUAACUAAAAGGGUUGCGCUCGUUGAUGGACUUAACCAAACAUCUCACGACACGAGCUGACGACGGCCAUGCAGCACCUGUCACUUGGUUCCCGAAGGCACACUCUGCUUUCGCAGAACUUCCAAGGAAGUCAAGUCUGGGUAAGGUUCUUCGCUUAGCAUCGAAUUAAACAACACGCUCCACCGCUUGUGCGGGUCCCCGUCAAUUCCUUUAUGUUUUAAGCUUGCGCUCGUACUCCACAGGCGGCUUGCUUAACGCGUUAGCUUCGCUACUACCAGGGUCGAUACUGAUAACAGCUAGCAAGCAUAGUUUACGGCGUGGACUAC